Molecule: ribosomal RNA, 253 nt
Filed under: uncultured bacterium
Lineage: Bacteria
Description: partial 16S ribosomal RNA
Rfam family: Bacterial small subunit ribosomal RNA
Source: RNAcentral
UACGUAGGGGGCAAGCGUUGUCCGGAAUUAUUGGGCGUAAAGAGCGCGUAGGCGGUCCGGUAAGUCGGUUGUGAAAGUCCAGGGCUCAACCCUGGAACGCCGGUGGAUACUGUCGGGCUAGAGUCCGGAAGAGGCGAGUGGAAUUCCUGGUGUAGCGGUGGAAUGCGCAGAUAUCAGGAGGAACACCGAUGGCGAAGGCAGCUCGCUGGGACGGUACUGACGCUGAGGCGCGAAAGCGUGGGGAGCGAACAGG